AACGAACGCUGGCGGCAGGCUUAACACAUGCAAGUCGAACGCAUCGCAAGAUGAGUGGCAGACGGGUGAGUAACGCGUGGGAAUCUACCCAGAUCUACGGAACAACAGUUGGAAACGACUGCUAAUACCGUAUACGCCCUACGGGGGAAAGAUUUAUCGGAUUUGGAUGAGCCCGCGUAAGAUUAGCUAGUUGGUGGGGUAAAGGCCUACCAAGGCGACGAUCUUUAGCUGGUCUGAGAGGAUGAUCAGCCACACUGGGACUGAGACACGGCCCAGACUCCUACGGGAGGCAGCAGUGGGGAAUAUUGGACAAUGGGCGCAAGCCUGAUCCAGCCAUGCCGCGUGAGUGAUGAAGGCCUUAGGGUUGUAAAGCUCUUUCACCGAUGAAGAUAAUGACGGUAGUCGGAGAAGAAGCCCCGGCUAACUUCGUGCCAGCCGCCGCCGCAAUAA
RNAcentral lists this ribosomal RNA (450 nucleotides) under uncultured bacterium. Its description in RNAcentral is "bacterial SSU rRNA". It matches the Rfam family "Bacterial small subunit ribosomal RNA", at positions 29 to 526 of the family's 1533-position model. The record is from RNAcentral.